UGCGUGGGAGAAGGGCUGCUUUUCAAGGACGUAUUUACUUUACUCUCUGUUUUCUCAACGGUGUAUAUAACUCAAUACUAAAAGGCUAAUUUGUUUAAGAAAACCAAACCUGACUUCUUCAGUUAAUUGCUUGCAGAAAAGGCAAGGAGGCUAUGGCAGAGUUGCUUUCUGAAGAAAGGCAGAAAUGCUGUACCAAACAGGAAUAUCCACUAUUAUAUUCCCAGCAAUCUGGUGGUCAUCAGUGCCUUGCUGAUAAACUGGAAAUCCUCACCUUCUUCUAUCCUCACCUCUCAAAUGACCCAUGAAAGAGUCUUGGAGAUCAAAGAAAUCCUCUUCCAUCCUUAUCCUUCGGACAGAAAAACUGAUGGGAUUUAGCACCCAUGUGGGAAUAUGAGCAUUGAUUUCAAGAACAAAGAAGCAACGACCUUUUGUCUGCUGCUGUCAUUCCCUGCUUCACCAUUAAG
Long non-coding RNA from Zonotrichia leucophrys gambelii, 464 nucleotides. RefSeq lists it as uncharacterized. The record is from RefSeq and is a predicted model, not a curated record. The transcript has 4 exons. NCBI's taxonomy places the organism in Eukaryota, Metazoa, Chordata, Aves, Passeriformes, Passerellidae.